GAUGAACGCUGGCGGCGUGCCUAAUACAUGCAAGUCGAGCGAACGGACGAGAAGCUUGCUUCUCUGAUGUUAGCGGCGGACGGGUGAGUAACACGUGGAUAACCUACCUAUAAGACUGGGUUAACUUCGGGAAACCGGAGCUAAUACCGGAUAAUAUUUUGAACCGCAUGGUUCAAAAGUGAAAGACGGUCUUGCUGUCACUUAUAGACGGAUCCGCGCUGCAUUAGCUAGUUGGUAAGGUAACGGCUUACCAAGGCAACGAUGCAUAGCCGACCUGAGAGGGUGAUCGGCCACACUGGAACUGAGACACGGUCCAGACUCCUACGGGAGGCAGCAGUAGGGAAUCUUCCGCAAUGGGCGAAAGCCUGACGGAGCAACGCCGCGUGAGUGAUGAAGGUCUUCGGAUCGUAAAACUCUGUUAUUAGGGAAGAACAUAUGUGUAAGUAACUGUGCACAUCUUGACGGUACCUAAUCAGAAAGCCACGGCUAACUACGUG
Molecule: ribosomal RNA, 497 nt
Filed under: uncultured bacterium
Lineage: Bacteria
Description: partial 16S ribosomal RNA
Rfam family: Bacterial small subunit ribosomal RNA
Source: RNAcentral